UGGGGAAUCUUGCACAAUGGGGGCAACCCUGAUGCAGCGACGCCGCGUGAGCGAUGAAGCCCUUCGGGGCGUAAAGCUCUUUCGACCGGAACGAUAAUGACGGUACCGGGAGAAGAAGCUGCGGCUAACUACGUGCCAGCAGCCGCGGUAAUACGUAGGCAGCAAGCGUUGUUCGGAGUUACUGGGCGUAAAGGGCGCGUAGGCGGCGCGGUAAGUCACUUGUGAAAUCUCUGAGCUUAACUCAGAACGGCCAAGUGAUACUGCUGUGCUAGAGUGCGGAAGAGGCAACCGGAAUUCUUGGUGUAGCGGUGAAAUGCGUAGAUAUCAAGAGGAACACCCGAGUCGAAGGCGGGUUGCUGGGCCGACACUGACGCUGAUGCGCGAAAGCCAGGGGA
RNAcentral lists this ribosomal RNA (395 nucleotides) under uncultured bacterium. RNAcentral describes it as "bacterial SSU rRNA". It matches the Rfam family "Bacterial small subunit ribosomal RNA", at positions 355 to 767 of the family's 1533-position model. The record is from RNAcentral.